CAGAAGAAAUAGAAUUCAUGAUAAAAGGUCUUUCAAGUAUAUACAAAGGUGUUAUCCUUAAUUUAAUGUCUGGGAUAGAUUUAUCAUGCAACAAUCUCAUCGGCGAUAUCCCACAUGAAAUAGGAACUUUAGAUGGACUUCAUGCAUUAAAUUUGUCACACAAUCAGCUGACUGGAUCCAUCCCAAAAACCUUCUCCAACCUGAAACAAAUAGAAAGCCUUGACCUGUCCUACAACAGAUUGACUGGGGGAAUCCCUUCAGAAUUGACUACUACACUCAACUUUUUGGCGGUCUUUAGCGUGGCACACAACAACUUAUCUGGCAAGACGCCAGAGAUGAAGGGACAAUUUGCAACGUUCGGCAGCACCAGUUAUGAGGGAAAUCCCUACCUUUGUGUUCAGCUUUCAUGGAA
Telopea speciosissima is the source of this 412-nucleotide long non-coding RNA. RefSeq lists it as uncharacterized. The record is from RefSeq and is a predicted model, not a curated record. Lineage: Eukaryota; Viridiplantae; Streptophyta; Magnoliopsida; Proteales; Proteaceae. The transcript is spliced from 3 exons.